This 21-nucleotide non-coding RNA is filed under the name Arabidopsis thaliana (thale cress). The record is from RNAcentral. Lineage: Eukaryota; Viridiplantae; Streptophyta; Magnoliopsida; Brassicales; Brassicaceae.
CCGAAGGUAUCUCGCGCUUGU